This 328-nucleotide ribosomal RNA is filed under the name uncultured eukaryote. RNAcentral's name for it is "partial 18S ribosomal RNA". It matches the Rfam family "Eukaryotic small subunit ribosomal RNA", at positions 1470 to 1796 of the family's 1831-position model. The record is from RNAcentral.
CCCUUAGAUGUCCUGGGCCGCACGCGCGUUACACUGAUGCAUUCAACGAGCUUAUAACCUUGGCCGAGAGGCCUGGGCAAUCUUAUUAACGUGCAUCGUGAUAGGGAUAGAUUAUUGAAAUUAUUAAUCUUGAACGAGGAGUUCCUAGUAAACGCAGAUCAUCAAUCUGCAUUGAUUACGUCCCUGCCCUUUGUACACACCGCCCGUCGCACCUACCGAUUGGAUGGUCCGGUGAAGCCUCGGGAUUGUGGUUCUUGCCGCUUUAUUGUGGCGUGACCGCGAGAACUUGUCUAAACCUUAUCAUCUAGAGGAAGGUGAAGUCGUAACA